This 497-nucleotide ribosomal RNA is filed under the name uncultured bacterium. RNAcentral's name for it is "partial 16S ribosomal RNA". It matches the Rfam family "Bacterial small subunit ribosomal RNA", at positions 28 to 507 of the family's 1533-position model. The record is from RNAcentral.
GAUGAACGCUGGCGGCGUGCCUAAUACAUGCGAGUCGAGCGAACGGACGAGAAGCUUGCUUCUCUGAUGUUAGCGGCGGACGGGUGAGUAACACGUGGAUAACCUACCUAUAAGACUGGGAUAACUUCGGGAAACCGGAGCUAAUACCGGAUAAUAUUUUGAACCGCAUGGUUCAAAAGUGAAAGACGGUCUUGCUGUCACUUAUAGAUGGAUCCGCGCUGCAUUAGCUAGUUGGUAAGGUAACGGCUUACCAAGGCAACGAUGCAUAGCCGACCUGAGAGGGUGAUCGGCCACACUGGAACUGAGACACGGUCCAGACUCCUACGGGAGGCAGCAGUAGGGACUCUUCCGCAAUGGGCGAAAGCCUGACGGAGCAACGCCGCGUGAGUGAUGAAGGUCUUCGGAUCGUAAAACUCUGUUAUUAGGGAAGAACAUAUGUGUAAGUAACUGUGCACAUCUUGACGGUACCUAAUCAGAAAGCCACGGCUAACUACGUG